This is a small nuclear RNA of Leucoraja erinaceus (little skate), 124 nucleotides long. RefSeq annotates it as U11 spliceosomal RNA. The record is from RefSeq and is a predicted model, not a curated record. The transcript has a single exon. Lineage: Eukaryota; Metazoa; Chordata; Chondrichthyes; Rajiformes; Rajidae.
AGAAAGUACAUGAUUUCUACCGUAAAUGAUACAUGGUUGAGGUUGUGCUCUAACCAUGUAGAAUCGCUAUCAAGAGAUUUUGAAUGUACAAUUCAUGAUCCCUGGGGCUGUUAAUGACGCUCGU